Molecule: ribosomal RNA, 464 nt
Filed under: uncultured bacterium
Lineage: Bacteria
Description: bacterial SSU rRNA
Rfam family: Bacterial small subunit ribosomal RNA
Source: RNAcentral
CCAGACUCCUACGGGAGGCAGCAGUGAGGAAUAUUGGUCAAUGGGCGGAAGCCUGAACCAGCCAAGUCGCGUGAGGGAAUAAGGCCCUACGGGUCGUAAACCUCUUUUGCCGGGGAGCAAGGGCCGGGACGAGUCCCGGUCCGGAGAGUACCCGGAGAAAAAGCAUCGGCUAACUCCGUGCCAGCAGCCGCGGUAAUACGGAGGAUGCGAGCGUUAUCCGGAUUUAUUGGGUUUAAAGGGUGCGCAGGCGGAGGAUAAAGUAGGGGGUAAAAUUGGGGGGCCCAACCUCUCCGAGCCGUUGAAACUGGUUUUCUUGAGUGAGCGAGAAGUAUGCGGAAUGCGUGGUGUAGCGGUGAAAUGCAUAGAUAUCGCGCAGAACUCCGAUUGCGAAGGCAGCAUGCCGGCUCCACACUGACGCUGAGGCACGAAAGCGUGGGUAUCGAACAGGAUUAGAUACCCCGGUA